GUACUGCACCAGAACGCGGCUCGCGCACGCGCACUGCGCUCCGCCGCGGUCACUGCUGCCCUCGCGUGUCCACAAACCAGUACUGCCGCCGCGCCCGGCCUCUCCCGCGGGCGGAGAAUAUGGCCGGCAGCCGCCGCACACGCGCGCAGCGCUGUUCGCCGUGUUCACCGCUCCUCUCCGCUGUUUCGCUCACGGGGCCCCGGCUCCUGCCCCGCGCUGGCCGGAGCGUGCGCUCGCCCCUGCGGACGCAGCCCGGAGGAGCGGGGCCGCGGGCGGGCCCCGGAGCGGGGUUGCGGCGCGGCGUCGGCGGGAGGUCGGCUCCUGUUGCGGCAGGCGUGGCCCGGAGCGCCGGUGAGUCCCGGGAAGGUGGAACCCUCUGGAGCAAGCCGGCUGAAGGAGAACGCGAGUCAGAUACGAUCAGCGCAGCCCCGAGUUGUUCCCUUAAGAAGCGUGGCCAGGCCGAGCAGAGUGAGCAGACGGAUAGAAGAAAGAUGGCCCCGGACACCCUGAGGGGUCCCCUGCCACCAGGCACAGCCGGAAGAAUGUUGAGAUGGAACUGAUGAUAGCAAAUGCUGACAGAGAGGAAAGCUGGACAAGCAGUCUUUUUGUGAUCAGUACCUAAGGGACAAAAUGAAUGAAACAAGCGAAAACGCAGUGGACCCCUGAUACCCCCAGCAACUGCUGCAGAAGGAGGUGUUCUGCCAUGGGCAAGUAAGAUGAAUUGCUGUGGCUGAAGUUGAAGAGACCAGAAAAAUGUAAGCAAGCUGAAGUGAUAAAAUCAAAUGGAGCCAACUGAGAGCUGUCUCUGUCUCCCGCAAAGGAGAGCCCGUCCUUCCUGAUUAGGAAGGAUUGCCAUUAAUAACGGUCAGAAUAACAGAUCACCGAUGUAUAACAAAGUCUGUAUGUGUUACAAAAAGUAUGCUACGUACGUGCACGUACUGUGCAUGUGAGUUUGCAUGUCUAUGAAGCAUUAUAUUAUAAGAGCUACAAGACAGCAAAUUAUUAUCUUAGGGGAAUGAUGGUCAAGUGGCCGGAGCUGCUGAAGGAGGAGGGGGGGAGAGAAAGGCUGUGAACUGUAAAAUCAAGAGAUCAUUUUCAGAGGGCUCGCUUAGUGGAACCCCCAGUUAGUUACCUGGCGGGGGUAUUUGGGGAAAGAGGAAGACGGUAGAUAGAGGAAACAUUAAGGCCUCGGGGAAUUAACUAACAUCUCCUGCCCUCAAAUUCCUGGCACAAGGCAAGCCUUCCUCAGUAAUGCUUUCCACAUCUGCUGACUCUGUGGGAGCAGCACUGUUAGAAAACAGCGGUAAGGGAAAGCAGGUGCAAGUAGCACCAUCUUCACAUCCCCUUUGGGAGCAGAACACAAAUUCCCUGGCUGUGAGAAAGACCGUUUAGCAGCACUCUGGGCUGUAACUGUCUUAGGCUUCUGCCUUUGAUAGGACAGAGGCAAUCCAGUGCACUCAGGUCCCUCUGAAGCAGUAAUGCCAGGCAUAUGACUAGACAGCAGGGAAUUAUCUGUCCAAGUGGCUUGGUGGGCACCAAUUUUAACGAGCGGGGUGGGGGGCAGUUACUGCACAAGUGUUACAAGAAAUGGAUGAUCUUGUGUGUAUGUGAAUUGACCGAGGGGCAGAGCACGGUUGUGCCAAAAAUGUGGACACAGAAGGUUUCUGACAGAUUAAUCUCUAGCGGCUGCUUAGUCUAACUUCCCUUUCACAGCACACCCAAUUGUCAUCAGAGCUUCCAAAGCACGGGUCGGGGAAGUGGUAUUUGUGGCCUGUGUAUUCCCCAUUUGCCUUGCUUGUGUGUGCAUGUUAGAGCUGAUUUUGCGCUUAUAAACAGCUUUGGAUUCUUACAAUUUUCUGCAGACUCUUUUUUUUUGUAUGUGUGUGUGUGUGGUUUGUGGGUUUUUUUGUUUUGUGUUUUGUUUUGGGAGGGGAGUUGUUUUUUUUGUUUUGCUUUGCUCUAUACUUUUGUAGGGUGAUGGAUUUUACUACGCCUCCAUCAACAAGUGCUGGCUUAAAAAGCUAUAACAUCCUAAGGGGGACACUUAGGCAAGAUGGAGGAGUUCAGACAGACAGCCUGCUAGAAGAACGUCACCCAAGAGGGGUUGCUAGCCCCCUCUUAAGCUCUAGGCGCUGAUGUGUAUAGAUCACCCUGUCAGACACAAAGAUGUUUUCUUUGGUUGCAGACGUUUGAGCUUGUCUUUACAGCCUAUAGCGGUAGUAUUUAUAAACUGCGUUAAUGCUAGGUGUUCAUAACGUCAGGGAAUGACUGCACGCUGCCGUUAAGAACUACAGGCUACGGCCCUCAGACCUCUGUAAGGUAUCACAUGUGAAGAGCAGCCAGGAGGAUCCAAAUGCCAGCAGAAAGGUUCUCCUCCCGGUCCCGACAAGGAGCUUUUGGCCGUAGGAAGGUUGGCCGCGUCCUUGCCAGACUUGUGUCACUGGCUGUGGAUGGUUGCCUACAGAGCUGAGAGGAGCAAAAAAUUUAACAGUCUGUAAGGGAGGUGAAGUAGCGCUUGUGACGUUUCAGGUGCGUUUGCUGAUAGCGCAGCCUAGUGCAAUCCAGUGGCAUGACUCGUGCACGUGCUCACAUGUGAAUGGCAGCUAAACCCAAGCCUCUAAACAGCAACUGUAGCAGGAUUGUGGUGCAUGUCUUCCUGUUCUGCUGCCCUUCUAAAUGAAGAGGGAACUUCCUAAACUGUGGGCAAAACUCUUUGGCUUCUUCUUACUGUUCUCAAGCUCGUGGGUGCUUUGGUGUUCCUUGCUUAAAGCUAAGGGUUUCGACUUUUCCACUUGAGGUUUAUGUAGUUUGUUGUUGAGGGUGUCUCAGGCAGCGGUUAUGGUUCCUCACUGUAUUUUGUGGGGUCAGUCUGUAUCAGUCAGAGUUUACGGGUCGCUCAUUUAGCGACCAGGAUUUAAAAUCCAACCUCAUCCCUAGGCUUUUCAGCCUCAGGAACCAUUUGGGUGCCAAGAUGUGCAGUUUGUCACUUCCGGAUCAGGAGCUUAGGGCUCGGUGAUAAGGGAAAAAUCCGUAGAUAAUAAAGUGUAAGACCUGAAGCCUAAGCAGCGGGCUGCAAACCCUCCUUCGGGGUUUGUCAUCUUCCCCUGUACUAGCGUUCAGCUCUCUGCACUGGGCUGAGGUCUGGAUUUGAUAGGGUGCAGGCCCACCGCACCGACACUGGCGAUGUGCGUCGGGCAAGCCAAGAGCUAUGCGAGUGUCGUGCAGGGCUGUAGUCUGGGGCAGAGCAGAAGCACAGACAGGCGAGCUCAGGCAUUGUCCUCUCUAAUUCUCAGAGCUGAAUCCUAUCCCUGAAGGGAAAAACAGAAGGGGCAGGCCAUGGGCUACACAGACACCUGCUGCAUCAGGGGCUGCGGUGGGAGUUGACCCUUCCCUGAUGGACGGACGGAUGGUUGUUGACGUGGCGAUGACUCUUCAGGUGUCACAGAGUAAGGGGAAGCGUGCCGGAGCCAAGCUCUGUGGCAGACUCGCUCCCAGGUGGUGUUUUUGUGCAGUAAAACAAUAAACAGCUGCUUUAUUCUU
Rhea pennata is the source of this 3540-nucleotide long non-coding RNA. RefSeq lists it as uncharacterized. Lineage: Eukaryota; Metazoa; Chordata; Aves; Rheiformes; Rheidae. The record is from RefSeq and is a predicted model, not a curated record. The transcript is spliced from 5 exons.